AGAUGAUGAUGAUUCUAUAUUUGAUAUCAUAGACCAGUUACUAGCUGAAGACAAUCGCAUGCUACAUGAGUCU
Molecule: small nucleolar RNA, 73 nt
Organism: Arabidopsis thaliana (thale cress)
Lineage: Eukaryota; Viridiplantae; Streptophyta; Magnoliopsida; Brassicales; Brassicaceae
Rfam family: Small nucleolar RNA R43
About the family: R43 is a member of the C/D class of snoRNA which contain the C (UGAUGA) and D (CUGA) box motifs. Most of the members of the box C/D family function in directing site-specific 2'-O-methylation of substrate RNAs.
Source: Rfam